RNAcentral lists this long non-coding RNA (2301 nucleotides) under Homo sapiens (human). RNAcentral describes it as "HSALNT0271238". Lineage: Eukaryota; Metazoa; Chordata; Mammalia; Primates; Hominidae. The record is from RNAcentral.
UAGGUGGUAGCACAGAACCUAUUCUCUGGGGAAGAACUGACAUAGGAGACGUGACUAAGUUGCAGUUGACACAUGCAACCUCAAAGAGAAAAGUUUGAGGAAAUCACUUCAAGGACAAAAAAUUGCAAUGUAAAGAGAAUUAUUUAUCUCCAAAUUCCAGAUUACCCCCCUGCCCAACCCCUGCCAGCAGCACCGUCCACAUGGUUUCUCAUUUAGUUUUGUGUUAGUUUAACAAAGUAGACUCUGCAAUCUGGAUAAAAUAGUAAGUCACCUCAGGUAGGUGCCAAUAGGAUGCUCCUUUGGACAUUGCAGAUUUUAAGUACUGUCUUUUUAUAAUACAGGAGGCAUGUACAAGUCUGUCAUAUGUGGAAAUGUUGUGAACCCAUCAUAUAUACAAUGUGCUGUUUUAGAAGAUAGAUUGUCCAUUUAGGUGUGUUAUAACAACCUAGAUGGGAAGUUACUUUCCGGUGUGUUCAAAGUUCCUUAUCUGAUUCUGCAGAGGCUGGGAUCUGAGCAGGUCACUCUAUCUCUGGAGGCCUGUUACUUGAUGAUAAAUACUAAUAAACAUCUCCCGUCAGACAUCUCAUCUUUUUGUGGAUUCCUGUAGUACUCUUACCCUUUCUACAAACAUGUAAAUACCAUCCAUUGAUAUAAUUUUUUUUUUUUUUUCUUUUGAGAGAGAGUCUCCCUCUGUUGCUCAGGCUGGAGUGCAGUGGCACGAUUUCGGCUCACUGCAAGCUCUGCCUCCCGGGUUCGCGCCAUUCUCCUGCCUCAGCCACCUGGGUAGCUGGGACUACAGGCGCUCGCCACCACGCCUGGCUAAUUUUUUGUAUUUUUAGUGGAGACGCGGUUUCACCGUGUUAGCCAGGAUGGUCUGGAUCUCCUGACCUCGCGAUCCGCCCGCCUAUAUAAUAUUCUUAUUUAACCCUUGGUUAAUAUAUUGGCAUCAGUUUGUUUUAACAACAAUAACAUAAUUAUCCCUAAUAAUCAGCAUUAUAAAAGCUAUCAUAAUCGCUUACAUAACUACAACUAUUAUCUAGACAAUAAUAGGUUAGAUUAAUAAGAAUUCAGUGUUAUUCAACACAUUGCUAAAAUGUUUCCAUGUACUUUUAUCUUAUAAGCUAAAUCUUAGGAGCUGUUACUCCUGGAAUAGAACAAUAUUUCAUUAAUAUAUUUAAAAUUUUAAAUUAGUAAACAUUUUUCUGAGAGAUUCUGAUUCUAUGGAGAAAAAAUAAUGUGAUCAAGAAUUUCUAUUGCUGGAAACAAACUAACAAAUCAUUUAGUUCGAAAGCCCCUCUUACAAAUGCAGGAACUGAGCUGAUUGACUCUUCAUUUAAUGAUAAUACUAUUAACAGGUAAUGCAGUUUUGAAGGAAAGCACAGGCUGAAUACAGAAAUCUCUUUCCAAGAGGUGGUGAGUCUUUACGACAAUUGAAUACGUGUUAUUUUUAUUCACUAAAAUUUGGCUAAGAUUGAAAGGGUAAACUUUGUGGGUCUUUCAGGAGAUCUUUUACUAAAAUAAGUAGGGCCUUAAUCACUGCUGAAUGAACUUUGUACAGAAUGGGCCCACAGGCCUCAUCUGUUGUAGCUGGGAUUGCUUUGAGAGAAGUGGAUUUGUUGAAAAGUGGAUGGAAGAACACAGGAUUUAGAAUUGGCAUAUUUGACUAUAGCUUCUGCAUCCACCUAUCUCUGCGCUAUAGAAAUGAUUAAAGAGAAGUGGGAAAAAUUCAUAAACUUUAUGAUUAUUUUUAAUUUUAAGGAGGACAUGGGACCUUUAUUAAAAAAAAUAUUCCCAUAUAUGAAAGAUUCUUAUUUCUAUAAUGGGGAAAUGGCGAGACUAUGAAAAAAAAAAAACAAAUAUGUAAUUGAACUUUAAUGUAUAAUACCAAAAUAAACUAUAGGUCACCUUUGGCAGUAUAUAUGUUUAAAAAUAAUUUCGACGUUUAAAAUGCCUUAAGAGAGGACCAUUAAGGUCAGAUUGAGAAGAUAAAAGAAUUGAUCUUUUAGGGUGCCAUUCUACUCUAUAGCUCUGUAAUUUCUAUGGUUAUGAUGGUUCUCUUUUGUUAAAUAAGGACUUAUAGAAAUUAUUUAUUUUAUCUGUUUGUAUUUAUUUAUUUGCCUGUUGGUACUAGUCAACUGCUUCCCCUUACUUCCCUCCACUUGCUACAACUAAUCAAAUGUCAUAUUUUAAGAUUAUUUACCAAGGUUGCUUUAAAUUUUUGUCUCCUUUUUAAAGUGUGAAAAUUAUUUAUUUUAAAGUUAGCAUUCAUUUCAUUAUUCCUUCUUUAAUAAAGUAUUUAUU